UGCUUCUCUGCCUAAUUCAUGGUUACAUCUUUUUUUGAAAAGGAGGAAACGAGUCCUCGGACUCUGCAUCAAUCGAUGCAUGCAGCCAUAAUUGAUGGUUACAUCUAGUUGUGUUUGCAUAUAUUCCGCAUCUGGACUUUCGAUUAAGAUGUAUUCCAUUGCUUUGUUCUGCAAGAGUUUUAACCUUGGUGGUGGAUAUGUGAUCUGUCCUUGGUGGAGAUGUAGAUUGCACCGACGGGGUAAUUAACGCUCUCCUCUGUUGAACUUGCAACCGAUUGGUUUUUUUGUUUUGUUUUUUUUCUUGCGGGGGGCUCGUAACCGAUGGUUGAUGGAUACUUCUUGCAGAUCUGUAGAUCUUGCUUUUUUAAGUGGAGUUAUGUGACCAGUUGCCCAUAGGAUGCAUUGGCGCCUCCCCCCAUUUUUGUCCAUCUGCUCUUAGUUGCUCUAUUUCUUCUGAACGCUUCGUGUACUUGGCAUUUCAUCACCCUUUUGGAUUGAAUCUGGCUUACUGUGAUUCUAUUUUCGAUUUAUACAUGGUGACGUCUCGUCACAUGCCUGGCUUGAAUCUGGGUGAAGCUUCUACGCUUGAUUUAUGGUGACAUAGCUAGUUGUAUUUGUGUAGUU
Molecule: long non-coding RNA, 624 nt
Filed under: Hordeum vulgare
Lineage: Eukaryota; Viridiplantae; Streptophyta; Magnoliopsida; Poales; Poaceae
Description: long non-coding RNA (HVUL_LNC014089)
Source: RNAcentral